This 277-nucleotide ribosomal RNA is filed under the name uncultured Eubacteriales bacterium. RNAcentral describes it as "uncultured Clostridiales bacterium partial 16S ribosomal RNA". It matches the Rfam family "Bacterial small subunit ribosomal RNA", at positions 70 to 339 of the family's 1533-position model. Lineage: Bacteria; Bacillati; Bacillota; Clostridia; Eubacteriales. The record is from RNAcentral.
AAAGAUUCUACGGAUGAUUUCCUUUGUGACUGAGCGGCGGACGGGUGAGUAACGCGUGGGUAACCUGCCUCAUACAGGGGGAUAACAGUUAGAAAUGACUGCUAAUACCGCAUAAGCGCACAGAGCUGCAUGGCUCGGUGUGAAAAACUCCGGUGGUAUAAGAUGGACCCGCGUUGGAUUAGUUAGUUGGUGAGGUAACGGCCCACCAAGGCGACGAUCCAUAGCCGACCUGAGAGGGUGACCGGCCACAUUGGGACUGAGACACGGCCCAAACUCC